GUCGAGAAUAAUUCACAAUGGGGGCAACCCUGAUGGUGCAACGCCGCGUGGAGGAUGAAGGUCUUCGGAUUGUAAACUCCUGUCAUCUGGGAGUAAGACCUGGCGAUGAAGAGUCGACAGGGUUGAUAGUACCAGAAGAGGAAGGGACGGCUAACUUCGUGCCAGCAGCCGCGGUAAUACGAAGGUCCCGAGCGUUGUUCGGAAUCACUGGGCGUAAAGGGAGCGUAGGCGGCGUGGUAAGUCAGAUGUGAAAUCCCGGGGCUCAACCCCGGAACUGCAUCCGAUACUGCUAUGCUAGAGCAUUGGAGAGGUAGCUGGAAUUCUUGGUGUAGCAGUGAAAUGCGUAGAUAUCAAGAGGAACACUCGUGGCGAAAGCGAGCUACUGGACAAUUGCUGACGCUGAGGCUCGAAGGCUAGGGGAGCGAAAGGGAUUAGAUACCCGAGUAGUCC
RNAcentral lists this ribosomal RNA (450 nucleotides) under uncultured bacterium. Its description in RNAcentral is "partial 16S ribosomal RNA". It matches the Rfam family "Bacterial small subunit ribosomal RNA", at positions 354 to 796 of the family's 1533-position model. The record is from RNAcentral.